GGGUCGAUGCUCGAGUGGUUAAUGGGGACGGAUUGUAAAUCCGCUGGCGAUGCCUACGCUGGUUCAAAUCCAGCUCGACCCA
Molecule: transfer RNA, 82 nt
Filed under: Haplomitrium blumei
Lineage: Eukaryota; Viridiplantae; Streptophyta; Haplomitriopsida; Calobryales; Haplomitriaceae
Description: tRNA-Tyr
Rfam family: tRNA
About the family: Transfer RNA (tRNA) molecules are approximately 80 nucleotides in length. Their secondary structure includes four short double-helical elements and three loops (D, anti-codon, and T loops). Further hydrogen bonds mediate the characteristic L-shaped molecular structure. tRNAs have two regions of fundamental functional importance: the anti-codon, which is responsible for specific mRNA codon recognition, and the 3' end, to which the tRNAs corresponding amino acid is attached (by aminoacyl-tRNA synthetases). tRNAs cope with the degeneracy of the genetic code in two manners: having more than one tRNA (with a specific anti-codon) for a particular amino acid; and 'wobble' base-pairing, i.e. permitting non-standard base-pairing at the 3rd anti-codon position.
Source: RNAcentral